Molecule: non-coding RNA, 136 nt
Organism: Triticum aestivum (bread wheat)
Lineage: Eukaryota; Viridiplantae; Streptophyta; Magnoliopsida; Poales; Poaceae
Source: Rfam
AUUCUACUCCCUCUGUUGCACAAUACAUGCCUUCUAUUUGUCAAAAUAUAUAUGUAUCUAGACAUGUUUUAGUAUAUAGGGACAUCCAUUUUAGGAAAAAUGGAAGUCAAGUAUUUUGGAACGGAGGGAGUACACA